GGGGGUGAUGGUGGAAAGGCACACAGGGCCAAAAUCGUGAGCCCUUGAAGGCCACGUAAGGAAUUUGGACUUCAGUCUAAGUGCAAUGAGAAAUCACUAGCAAGCUUCAACCAGGGGGAAAACUGAUCUGAUUAAUGACAAUCUGAUUAAUGAAAGGCUGCUUCUCAAUCCUCUGUGUCAGUGGAAAUUUUCAGCCUGUGGCUCGUAUGGCACAGGGACCUACAAGGUUGGCAAGUGGAAGGAGGAGGCAGCUCAAAUUCCCACACAUCUGGGGCAAACAGAUACUGCACUCCAAUUUCCUGUCGGCGCCGCUGGUUUCUCGCGGAAUUACUUGCUAA
This 338-nucleotide long non-coding RNA is filed under the name Felis catus (domestic cat). Its description in RNAcentral is "lncRNA (ENSFCAG00000044785.2)". Lineage: Eukaryota; Metazoa; Chordata; Mammalia; Carnivora; Felidae. The record is from RNAcentral.